GGCUCCAUAGCUCAGUGGAUUAGAGCGUUCGCCUCCGGAGCGAAAGGUCGCGGGUUCGAACCCCGCUGGAGUCACCA
RNAcentral lists this transfer RNA (77 nucleotides) under Chlamydia trachomatis. RNAcentral's name for it is "tRNA-Arg(ccg)". It matches the Rfam family "tRNA". Rfam says of the family: Transfer RNA (tRNA) molecules are approximately 80 nucleotides in length. Their secondary structure includes four short double-helical elements and three loops (D, anti-codon, and T loops). The record is from RNAcentral. RNAcentral also lists the same sequence under 3 other names. Lineage: Bacteria; Pseudomonadati; Chlamydiota; Chlamydiia; Chlamydiales; Chlamydiaceae.